GGGUGAGUAACACGUAAGCAACCUGCCUUUAAGACGAGAAUAACAAUUGGAAACAGUUGCUAAGGCUGGAUAGGAAAUAAAAAGGCAUCUUUUUAUUUUUAAAAGACCUUUUUCGGAAGGUAUGCUUAAAGAGGGGCUUGCGUCACAUUAGUUAGUUGGUAGGGUAAAGGCCUACCAAGACGAUGAUGUGUAGCUGGACUGAGAGGUUGAACAGCCACAUUGGGACUGAGACACGGCCCAAACUCCUACGGGAGGCAGCAGUAGGGAAUUUUCGGCAAUGGAGGAAACUCUGACCGAGCAACGCCGCGUGAACGACGAAGUACUUCGGUAUGUAAAGUUCUUUUAUUGAAGAAGAAACAAUAGUGGAAAAACUAUCUUGACGUUAUUCAAUGAAUAAGCCCCGGCUAACUAUGUGCCAGCAGCCGCGGUAAUACAUAGGGGGCGAGCGUUAUCCGGAAUUAUUGGGCGUAAAGGGUGCGUAGGCGGUUUAAUAAGUCUCUAGUUUAAUUUCAACGCUUAACGUUGUCCUGCUAGAGAAACUGUUUAACUAGAGUGAGAUAGAGGUAAGCGGAAUUCCAUGUGUAGCGGUAAAAUGUGUAAAUAUAUGGAGGAACACCAGAGGCGUAGGCGGCUUACUGGGUCUUUACUGACGCUGAUGCACGAAAGCGUGGGGAGCAAACAGGAUUAGAUACCCUGGUAGUCCACGCCGUAAACUAUGAGUACUAAGUGUCGGGGUUAAACUCGGUACUGAAGUUAACACAUUAAGUACUCCGCCUGAGUAGUACGUACGCAAGUAUGAAACUUAAAGGAAUUGACGGGAUCCCGCACAAGCGGUGGAUCAUGUUGUUUAAUUCGAAGAUACACGAAAAACCUUACCAGGUCUUGACAUACUCUGCAAAGCUAUAGAAAUAUAGUGGAGGUUAUCAGGGAUACAGGUGGUGCAUGGUUGUCGUCAGCUCGUGUCGUGAGAUGUUAGGUUAAGUUCUAAAACGAGCGCAACCCCUGUCGUUAAUUGCCAGCACGUUAUGGUGGGGACUUUAGCGAGACUGCCAAUGAAAAAUUGGAGGAAGGUGGGGAUUACGUCAAAUCAUCAUGCCCCUUAUGAUCUGGGCUACAAACGUGAUACAAUGGCUAUUACAAAGAGUAGCUGAAACGCGAGUUUUCGGCAAAUCUCAAAAAAAUAGUCUCAGUUCGGAUUGAAGUCUGCAACUCGACUUCAUGAAGUUGGAAUCGCUAGUAAUCGCGAAUCAGCAUGUCGCGGUGAAUACGUUCUCGGGGUUUGUACACACCGCCCGUCAAACCACGAAA
Molecule: ribosomal RNA, 1308 nt
Filed under: Coconut lethal yellowing phytoplasma
Lineage: Bacteria; Bacillati; Mycoplasmatota; Mollicutes; Acholeplasmatales; Acholeplasmataceae
Description: bacterial SSU rRNA
Rfam family: Bacterial small subunit ribosomal RNA
Source: RNAcentral